AUUAAGCUCGGCUGACAAUCGAUGGUGGAGGACGGGUGAUGCUAAGGCACCGUUUCCCAGACUCCACUUCACAGAGCACCCGCUGCUGGUCCAGGGAUCUCUCUCCUCCUUUGCAUCUGGCCUGGAGGCCUGUGAAAGCAGCUGGCUUUUCAGGCGGGGCUAGCCUGGCUACCCGGACUGGGAGCCACUUAGCUGCCUUCAGGAGCCAGAGCUGCCACCUCCAGCGCCGCCAGCCCUCGCUGUUUGAUUGCAAGUCUUUUGGUGCUUUUUGUAAAGCCCCAGCUCCUGGAGUCAUGUUAUUUCACAAAACAUCUCAGGUUUCAUUCUAAUAGGUCAGCUAGGCUUCUUGCUGUCUGGUUAAGGAGACAAGCCUGAAAACGUGCCCCAUGUGCCUCCUAAAGGGCCCGACUCGUGGUCACUGAACGUUUGAGGUUGGCGACGCUCCGGUCACUGGUGGGAGAGGAAAGUCCCGGGAAGAAGGGAAUGAAAAGCUGUCCAGGGAUCAAAGGAGGAGAGGAGCAAUCACCUCAGAGGAGUGGGUGGGGCAGAGGAGCAGAGAGCUUCUGGGUAGAACUCAAAACCUGAGCUAGAAGGGAAAAAAGAAAUUUGAUGAACCAAAACAAAAAUUAUGGGCUAGAUUCUCAGCUGGUGUGAAUCAGCAGAGCUCCGGUGCCUACAUGUACAUUAAUAAAGGAG
Mauremys reevesii (Reeves's turtle) is the source of this 696-nucleotide long non-coding RNA. RefSeq lists it as uncharacterized. Lineage: Eukaryota; Metazoa; Chordata; Testudines; Geoemydidae. The transcript is spliced from 3 exons. The record is from RefSeq and is a predicted model, not a curated record.